This 68-nucleotide transfer RNA is filed under the name Oxyloma wujiaquensis. Its description in RNAcentral is "tRNA-Arg". Lineage: Eukaryota; Metazoa; Mollusca; Gastropoda; Stylommatophora; Succineidae. The record is from RNAcentral.
UAAAAAAAAGCGAUAUAAUUGCAUUAAGUUUCGACCUUAAUUUAGAAUUAUUUUUUAUUCUUUUUUAA